GUGGGGAAUAUUGGGCAAUGGGGGAAACCCUGAACCAGCAACGCCGCGUGAGGGAAGAAGGUUUUCGGAUUGUAAACCUCUGUCCUUGGUGACGAAGGAAGUGACGGUAGCCAAGGAGGAAGCCCCGGCUAACUACGUGCCAGCAGCCGCGGUAAUACGUAGGGGGCAAGCGUUGUCCGGAAUGACUGGGCGUAAAGGGCGUGUAGGCGGCCGAUUAAGUCUGGAGUGAAAGUCCUGCUUUCAAGGUGGGAAUUGCUUUGGAGACUGGUUGGCUUGAGUGCGGAAGAGGUAAGUGGAAUUCCCAGUGUAGCGGUGAAAUGCGUAGAGAUUGGGAGGAACACCAGUGGCGAAGGCGACUUACUGGGCCGUAACUGACGCUGAGGCGCGAAAGCGUGGGGAGCGAACAGGAUUAGAACCCCGGGUAGUCC
RNAcentral lists this ribosomal RNA (428 nucleotides) under uncultured bacterium. RNAcentral's name for it is "partial 16S ribosomal RNA". It matches the Rfam family "Bacterial small subunit ribosomal RNA", at positions 354 to 796 of the family's 1533-position model. The record is from RNAcentral.